This 26-nucleotide non-coding RNA is filed under the name Homo sapiens (human). Lineage: Eukaryota; Metazoa; Chordata; Mammalia; Primates; Hominidae. The record is from RNAcentral.
UAGGAGUACUUAUGCUGAAUUGAUUC